CUCCUGAGCUCAGGCAAUCCACCUGCCUCAGCCUCCCAAAGUGCUGGGAUUACAGGCGUGAGCCACUAUGCCUGGCCAGGCUCAUCUGUUAAUCUUCUGGAUGUAUGUUCUGUCUGACACCCACCUCUAUCCUUGACCUUCCUACCAGGCAUCACUGGUUAGGCCUGUUGCAUCAGCCUUGCCUUUUGUUUGUUUCUUUCUUUCUAGCAUAUCUGGGAUUUUAUUCUUUCAAACUCU
This 237-nucleotide long non-coding RNA is filed under the name Homo sapiens (human). Its description in RNAcentral is "non-protein coding lnc-ANKRD29-5:1". Lineage: Eukaryota; Metazoa; Chordata; Mammalia; Primates; Hominidae. The record is from RNAcentral.